AAAAAGGGGGAGGGCCGGUUGGUAGGUCAACUUGGAGUAAUACUUUGAAAAAGUAUAUUAACUUAUCAUACAUGCAUGUAUGAAGUUCAAUCAGUAGGCCCCUUUUUCCAUAUACAUACAUACUCCUCUGAUUAUAUAAGUGUUGUACUGCAUAAAUCCAUGAUUUGAAAAAUAUCAGGACGAUGUCAGAAGAUCUCAGAAAUACAACCCGAUAGUUUGGGACAAUCAUUUGAUAUUUUCAAUGGGCGGAAGGAUAGGAGGAUAAUCUGAUAUUGAAACAAUACAUGCACUAACUGUUCAAAGACAUUUUUGUUUGAUAUUUAAUUUAUAUGAAGGAUAUCUUGGUGUGGCGUAGGUAUGAAGUUAGGGGACAGCACUCGUCUGUUUAUAAGGAUUUAUCGUUGUAGUAAACGCAUCAACCUGGAAGUUUCCGAAUGAUACGUUGCUUUCGCCGGGAAAUUUGAAUAUUCUGACACGAAUGCAACUGAAACUGCGUAAGGGUUCUGUUAAUCCACAAAUCAAAAUAUGCAUGUGAUAGAAGAAUAAUUUCGGAAGAAAAUGAGGGC
RNAcentral lists this long non-coding RNA (566 nucleotides) under Mytilus galloprovincialis (Mediterranean mussel). Lineage: Eukaryota; Metazoa; Mollusca; Bivalvia; Mytilida; Mytilidae. The record is from RNAcentral.